RNAcentral lists this small RNA (597 nucleotides) under Pan troglodytes (chimpanzee). RNAcentral describes it as "retained intron". Lineage: Eukaryota; Metazoa; Chordata; Mammalia; Primates; Hominidae. The record is from RNAcentral.
GUCAGAUUCAACAUUAUGCAAGAUUAUUGUAUAGGAGCAAUUGCCAAUGAUUUGAAAUAAAAACCAUGGAAGAAAAGUCAACAUUACUGUUCUAUUAAGCUGUUUCUCCCCCCUAGGAGUUAAGAAAAGACCUCUCACUAUUCUAGCAGUAUAGCAUAUUUGUUCAAUUCCAGAAAGAUGGGAACUUAGUCUAAAAAUGAUUCUUUGAGCAACUCAUAUUUUUCUGGAACUCUAUGUAAAAGCAAAUUAAUAUAAAUAUAUAUGUUUUGAGAUACUGGGACAUCACACUUUUUUUUAAUCUUUCACUUGAAUUUCUUCCCAAAUAGAGAAUAUUUUUAUUCUUUGAUUCUUCUAGCCUAUCUGUAUUUUAUGAUCAGAUUUUGCUAAAACAGACCUGAAGAUGCACCUGGAUAAUUAGGUAAUUGGGUAUAAUUUGGAAAGUCAGUGCUUAUAUAAACCAUGCUUAAUAAUGGACUAUUUUGAUUCUGUCUUGACCCUAGAACGUAAGUCUCAGGAAGUUAUUAUCUAUGAUGAUGUAGACCUGAGUGAAAAAGAGUCAAAAGAUGAAGAUAAACUGAAAAUGUGGAAGCCCAAGUU